AGUGGAGAGUUUGGAUCAUGGCUCAGGACGAACGCUGGCGAGCGUGCUUAACACAUGCAAGUCGAGCGGUAAGGCCCUUCGGGGUACACGAGCGGCGAACGGGUGAGUAACACGUGGGUGAUCUGUCUCGCACUUCGGGAUAAGCCUGGGAAAGUGGGUAUAAUGCCGGAUAUGGCCUUUCAGUGCAUGCUGUUGGGUGGAAAGAUUUAUCGGUGCGAGAUGGGCCCGCGGCAAAUCAGUUUGUUGGCGGGGUAACGGCCCACCAAGGCGACGACGGGUAGCCGACCUGAGAGGGUGACCGGCCACACUGGGACUGAGACACGGCCCAGACUCCUACGGGAGGCAGCAGUGGGGAAUAUUGCACAAUGGGCGGAAGCCUGAUGCAGCGACGCCGCGUGAGGGAUGACGGCCUUCGGGUUGUAAACCUCUUUCGACAGGGACGAAGCGCAAGUGACGGUACCUGUAGAAGAAGCACCGGCCAACUACGUGCCAGCAGCCGCGGUAAUACGUAGGGUGCGAGCGUUGUCCGGAAUUACUGGGCGUAAAGAGCUUGUAGGCGGUUUGUCGCGUCGUCCGUGAAAACUCCGGGCUCAACCCCAAGCUUGCGGGCGAUACGGGCAGACUUGAGUACUUCAGGGGAGACUGGAAUUCCUGGUGUAGCGGUGAAAUGCGCAGAUAUCAGGAGGAACACCGGUGGCGAAGGCGGGUCUCUGGGAAGUAACUGACGCUGAGAAGCGAAAGCUUAGCGC
RNAcentral lists this ribosomal RNA (749 nucleotides) under Nocardia brasiliensis. RNAcentral's name for it is "bacterial SSU rRNA". It matches the Rfam family "Bacterial small subunit ribosomal RNA", at positions 1 to 767 of the family's 1533-position model. Lineage: Bacteria; Bacillati; Actinomycetota; Actinomycetes; Mycobacteriales; Nocardiaceae. The record is from RNAcentral.